Molecule: non-coding RNA, 19 nt
Filed under: Arabidopsis thaliana (thale cress)
Lineage: Eukaryota; Viridiplantae; Streptophyta; Magnoliopsida; Brassicales; Brassicaceae
Source: RNAcentral
UGUUUUGUGCUUGAAUCUA